This 340-nucleotide long non-coding RNA is filed under the name Homo sapiens (human). Its description in RNAcentral is "non-protein coding TTTY10:2". The record is from RNAcentral. Lineage: Eukaryota; Metazoa; Chordata; Mammalia; Primates; Hominidae.
UUAUCUUUUCAUCUCUCUAAUCAUUGAGAAAAAGAGUACAAAAAGCCAGAUUUUGCAGUUCCCUAUUUUGUAUUCCAGGUUGAAGAGUGCUCUGGCUGUAGAGGGUCCCCACGAUCUGUCAUCUAGUAACUCACCAGAUACAUAAGAUAUUUUGCCUGCUAUGAAGCCAUUGGAGAAUCAGGUCCAGCUGUGUCCUACAGAUUUAUACCCUCACUUUGGAUGCACUGUGAAUCUUGAAACAAGUAUGUAAAUAGAAUCCAGCCCCUCUCUGCCACAGCCUCAGAGCAGGAUUGGUAACUCCAAAAGACACCAGGACACAUCCUAAUUUUCUUAAAUUUUA